This 403-nucleotide ribosomal RNA is filed under the name uncultured bacterium. RNAcentral's name for it is "partial 16S ribosomal RNA". It matches the Rfam family "Bacterial small subunit ribosomal RNA", at positions 28 to 526 of the family's 1533-position model. The record is from RNAcentral.
GACGAACGCUGGCGGCGUGCCUAAUACAUGCAAGUCGAACGCAGUGGGGACGGGUGAGUAACACGUGGGUAACCUCCCAUCAGAGGGGAUACCACUUGGAAACAGGUGCUAAACCGAUACUGAUGGAUGGACCCGCGGUGCAUUAGCUACUUGGUGAGGUAACGGCUCACCAAGGGCACGAUGUAUAGCCGACCUGAGAGGGUGAUCAGACACACUGGGACUGAGACACGGUCCAGACUCCUACGGGAGGCAGCAGUAGGGAAUCUUCGGCAAUGGACGCAAGUCUGACCUAGCAACGCCGCGUGAGUGAAGAAGGUUUUCGGAUCGUAAAACUCUGUUGUUGGAGAAGCGGUAUCUAAACAAAAAGCCACGGCUAACUACGUGCCAGCCGCCGCGGUAAUAC